This 1372-nucleotide ribosomal RNA is filed under the name uncultured bacterium. RNAcentral describes it as "bacterial SSU rRNA". It matches the Rfam family "Bacterial small subunit ribosomal RNA", at positions 28 to 1381 of the family's 1533-position model. The record is from RNAcentral.
GAUGAACGCUGGCGGCGUGCCUAAUACAUGCAAGUCGAGCGAACGGACGAGAAGCUUGCUUCUCUGAUGUUAGCGGCGGACGGGUGAGUAACACGUGGAUAACCUACCUAUAAGACUGGGAUAACUUCGGGAAACCGGAGCUAAUACCGGAUAAUAUUUUGAACCGCAUGGUUCAAAAGUAAAAGACGGUCUUGCUGUCACUUAUAGAUGGAUCCGCGCUGCAUUAGCUAGUUGGUAAGGUAACGGCUUACCAAGGCAACGAUGCAUAGCCGACCUGAGAGGGUGAUCGGCCACACUGGAACUGAGACACGGUCCAGACUCCUACGGGAGGCAGCAGUAGGGAAUCUUCCGCAAUGGGCGAAAGCCUGACGGAGCAACGCCGCGUGAGUGAUGAAGGUCUUCGGAUCGUAAAACUCUGUUAUUAGGGAAGAAUAUAUGUGUAAGUAACUGUGCACAUCUUGACGGUACCUAAUCAGAAAGCCACGGCUAACUACGUGCCAGCAGCCGCGGUAAUACGUAGGUGGCAAGCGUUAUCCGGAAUUAUUGGGCGUAAAGCGCGCGUAGGCGGUUUUUUAAGUCUGAUGUGAAAGCCCACGGCUCAACCGUGGAGGGCCAUUGGAAACUGGAAAACUUGAGUGCAGAAGAGGAAAGUGGAAUUCCAUGUGUAGCGGUGAAAUGCGCAGAGAUAUGGAGGAACACCAGUGGCGAAGGCGACUUUCUGGUCUGUAACUGACGCUGAUGUGCGAAAGCGUGGGGAUCAAACAGGAUUAGAUACCCUGGUAGUCCACGCCGUAAACGAUGAGUGCUAAGUGUUAGGGGGUUUCCGCCCCUUAGUGCUGCAGCUAACGCAUUAAGCACUCCGCCUGGGGAGUACGACCGCAAGGUUGAAACUCAAAGGAAUUGACGGGGACCCGCACAAGCGGUGGAGCAUGUGGUUUAAUUCGAAGCAACGCGAAGAACCUUACCAAAUCUUGACAUCCUUUGACAACUCUAGAGAUAGAGCCUUCCCCUUCGGGGGACAAAGUGACAGGUGGUGCAUGGUUGUCGUCAGCUCGUGUCGUGAGAUGUUGGGUUAAGUCCCGCAACGAGCGCAACCCUUAAGCUUAGUUGCCAUCAUUAAGUUGGGCACUCUAAGUUGACUGCCGGUGACAAACCGGAGGAAGGUGGGGAUGACGUCAAAUCAUCAUGCCCCUUAUGAUUUGGGCUACACACGUGCUACAAUGGACAAUACAAAGGGCAGCGAAACCGCGAGGUCAAGCAAAUCCCAUAAAGUUGUUCUCAGUUCGGAUUGUAGUCUGCAACUCGACUACAUGAAGCUGGAAUCGCUAGUAAUCGUAGAUCAGCAUGCUACGGUGAAUACGUUCCCGGGUCU